Molecule: ribosomal RNA, 202 nt
Filed under: uncultured bacterium
Lineage: Bacteria
Description: partial 16S ribosomal RNA
Rfam family: Bacterial small subunit ribosomal RNA
Source: RNAcentral
CAGUCUGCAACUCGACUGCGUGAAGUCGGAAUCGCUAGUAAUCGCGGAUCAGCAUGCCGCGGUGAAUACGUUCCCGGGCCUUGUACACACCGCCCGUCACACCAUGAGAGUCGGGAACACCCGAAGCCCGUAGCUUAACUUUAACGAGGGGGCGCGGUCGAAGGUGGGUUCGAUAAUUGGGGUGAAGUCGUAACAAGGUACC